CUGAUGCAGCGACGCCGCGUGAGGGACGACGGCCUUCGGGUUGUAAACCUCUUUCGACAGGGACGAAGCGAAAGUGACGGUACCUGUAUAAGAAGCACCGGCCAACUACGUGCCAGCAGCCGCGGUAAUACGUAGGGUGCGAGCGUUGUCCGGAAUUACUGGGCGUAAAGAGCUUGUAGGCGGUUCGUCGCGUCGAUCGUGAAAACUUGCAGCUCAACUGCGAGCUUGCGGUCGAUACGGGCGGACUAGAGUACUUCAGGGGAGACUGGAAUUCCUGGUGUAGCGGUGAAAUGCGCAGAUAUCAGGAGGAACACCGGUGGCGAAGGCGGGUCUCUGGGAAGUAACUGACGCUGAGAAGCGAAAGCGUGGGUAGCGAACAGGAUUAGAUACCCUGGUAGUCCACGCCGUAAACGGUGGGUACUAGGUGUGGGUUUCCUUCCACGGGAUCCGUGCCGUAGCUAACGCAUUAAGUACCCCGCCUGGGGAGUACGGCCGCAAGGCUAAAACUCAAAGGAAUUGACGGGGGCCCGCACAAGCGGCGGAGCAUGUGGAUUAAUUCGAUGCAACGCGAAGAACCUUACCUGGGUUUGACAUACACCGGACAGCCGUAGAGAUACGGCCCCCCUUGUGGUCGGUG
Molecule: ribosomal RNA, 637 nt
Filed under: Actinomycetes bacterium
Lineage: Bacteria; Bacillati; Actinomycetota; Actinomycetes
Description: bacterial SSU rRNA
Rfam family: Bacterial small subunit ribosomal RNA
Source: RNAcentral